This 242-nucleotide ribosomal RNA is filed under the name uncultured bacterium. RNAcentral describes it as "partial 16S ribosomal RNA". It matches the Rfam family "Bacterial small subunit ribosomal RNA", at positions 535 to 776 of the family's 1533-position model. The record is from RNAcentral.
CAAGCGUUGUUCGGAAUUACUGGGCGUAAAGGGCUCGUAGGCGGCCAACUAAGUCGGACGUGAAAUCCCUCGGCUUAACCGGGGAACUGCGUCCGAUACUGGAUGGCUUGAGUUCGGGAGAGGGAUGCGGAAUUCCAGGUGUAGCGGUGAAAUGCGUAGAUAUCUGGAGGAACACCGGUGGCGAAGGCGGCAUCCUGGACCGAAACUGACGCUGAGGAGCGAAAGCGUGGGUAGCAAACAGG